Molecule: ribosomal RNA, 260 nt
Filed under: uncultured bacterium
Lineage: Bacteria
Description: partial 16S ribosomal RNA
Rfam family: Bacterial small subunit ribosomal RNA
Source: RNAcentral
GUCCACGCCCUAAACGAUGUCGAUUAGCCGUUGGGAUCAUUUAAGGUCUUAGUGGCGCAGCUAACGCGAUAAAUCGACCGCCUGGGGAGUACGGCCGCAAGGUUAAAACUCAAAGGAAUUGACGGGGCCCGCACAAGCGGUGGAGCAUGUGGUUUAAUUCGAUGCAACGCGAAGAACCUUACCAGGCCUUGACAUCUAGCGAACUUUCCAGAGAUGGAUUGGUGCCUUCGGAACGCUAGACAGUGCUGCAUGGCUGUCGU